This 418-nucleotide ribosomal RNA is filed under the name uncultured beta proteobacterium. RNAcentral describes it as "bacterial SSU rRNA". It matches the Rfam family "Bacterial small subunit ribosomal RNA", at positions 9 to 428 of the family's 1533-position model. The record is from RNAcentral. Lineage: Bacteria; Pseudomonadati; Pseudomonadota; Betaproteobacteria.
GAGUUUGAUCCUGGCUCAGAUUGAACGCUGGCGGGAUGCCUUACACAUGCAAGUCGAACGGCAGCGCGGACUUCGGUCUGGCGGCGAGUGGCGAACGGGUGAGUAAAGUAUCGGAACGUGCCCAGUAGCGGGGGAUAACUACGCGAAAGCGUAGCUAAUACCGCAUACGCCCUGAGGGGGAAAGCGGGGGAUCUUCGGACCUCGCACUAUUGGAGCGGCCGAUAUCGGAUUAGCUAGUUGGUGGGGUAACGGCUCACCAAGGCGACGAUCCGUAGCUGGUUUGAGGGGACGACCAGCCACACUGGGACUGAGACACGGCCCAGACUCCUACGGGAGGCAGCAGUGGGGAAUUUUUGGACAAUGGGGGCAACCCGUGAUCCAGCCAUCCCGCGUGUGCGAUGAAGGCCUUCGGUUGUAA